This 1059-nucleotide ribosomal RNA is filed under the name uncultured bacterium. RNAcentral's name for it is "bacterial SSU rRNA". It matches the Rfam family "Bacterial small subunit ribosomal RNA", at positions 341 to 1401 of the family's 1533-position model. The record is from RNAcentral.
ACGGGAGGCAGCAGUGAGGAAUAUUGGACAACGGAUGGAAAUCUGAUCCAGCCAUGCCGCGUGCAGGAAGACGGCCUUAUGGGUUGUAAACUGCUUUUAUACGGGAGCAAUAAGUGUUACGAGUAAUCCGAUGAGAGUACUGUAUGAAUAAGGAUCGGCUAACUCCGUGCCAGCAGCCGCGGUAAUACGGAGGAUCCGAGCGUUAUCCGGAAUUAUUGGGUUUAAAGGGUGCGUAGGCGGCCAUUUAAGUCAGCGGUGAAAUUUUGCAGCUUAACUGUAACAGUGCCGUUGAUACUGUUUGGCUAGGAUUUGGUUGUAGUGUGCGGAAUGUGUGGUGUAGCGGUGAAAUGCUUAGAUAUCACACAGAACGCCGAUUGCGAAGGCAGCACACUAAGUCAUUAUUGACGCCGAGGCACGAAAGUGUGGGGAUCAAACGGGAUUAGAUACCCUGGUAGUCCACACUGUAAACGAUGAUAACUCGCUGUCGGCGAUACACAGUCGGUGGCCAAGCGAAAGCAUUAAGUUAUCCACCUGGGGAGUACGACCGCAAGGUUGAAACUCAAAGGAAUUGACGGGGGCCCGCACAAGCGGAGGAACAUGUGGUUUAAUUCGAUGAUACGCGAGGAACCUUACCCGGGCUCGAACGGUGCAUGAAUAUACGAGAGAUUGUAUAGUCCUUCGGGACAUGUAUCGAGGUGCUGCAUGGUUGUCGUCAGCUCGUGCCGUGAGGUGUCGGCUUAAGUGCCAUAACGAGCGCAACCCUUGUCAUUAGUUGCCAUCAGGUCAAGCUGGGGACUUUAAUGAGACUGCCACCGUAAGGUGUGAGGAAGGGGGGGAUGACGUCAAAUCAGCACGGCCCUUAUGUCCGGGGCGACACACGUGUUACAAUGGGAGGUACAGAGGGCAGCUAUCCGGUGACGGAAUGCUAAUCUCCAAAACCUUUCUCAGUUCGGAUUGGAGUCUGCAACUCGACUCCAUGAAGGUGGAUUCGCUAGUAAUCGCGCAUCAGCCAUGGCGCGGUGAAUACGUUCCCGGGCCUUGUACAAAGCCCCCGUCAAG